Molecule: ribosomal RNA, 490 nt
Filed under: uncultured bacterium
Lineage: Bacteria
Description: partial 16S ribosomal RNA
Rfam family: Bacterial small subunit ribosomal RNA
Source: RNAcentral
AUUGAACGCUGGCGGCAGGCCUAACACAUGCAAGUCGAACGGUAACAGGAAGCAGCUUGCUGCUUUGCUGACGAGUGGCGGACGGGUGAGUAAUGUCUGGGAAACUGCCUGAUGGAGGGGGAUAACUACUGGAAACGGUAGCUAAUACCGCAUAACGUCGCAAGACCAAAGAGGGGGACCUUCGGGCCUCUUGCCAUCGGAUGUGCCCAGAUGGGAUUAGCUAGUAGGUGGGGUAACGGCUCACCUAGGCGACGAUCCCUAGCUGGUCUGAGAGGAUGACCAGCCACACUGGAACUGAGACACGGUCCAGACUCCUACGGGAGGCAGCAGUGGGGAAUAUUGCACGAUGGGCGCAAGCCUGAUGCAGCCAUGCCGCGUGUAUGAAGAAGGCCUUCGGGUUGUAAAGUACUUUCAGCGGGGAGGAAGGGAGUAAAGUUAAUACCUAUGCUCAUUGACGUUACCCGCAGAAGAAGCACCGGCUAACUCCGUG